GGCAAUGUUCCCAAGAUAGAUCAUAGGAAGCUAUCUUAAGUUGAGCUAUUGCUCACUCUAGCCAGAAGUUCUACAUUUUGAUUGGUAGUGGCCCUCCUGGAUCUUGAAGGACGACAUCAGGAAUUGAAACUGGGGAUAUAAUGAAUUAGACCUAAACUUAUGAAAUGAUUAGCAUUUUAGAAAUACCGAGCCAAGUCUCCUUCAGCAUACAGAAAGUUGGAUUAAAAACCACAGAUUCAAGAGGCCCUUCUAGCCAGCGCAAAAGCACAUCAUUCAGGCUUUGGGUCACCUUCUAGUAGAAGUGUCACCUGCCUUGACAAUGCAGUAAAGUGAGUUACAAACCUAAGAAAUAACCAAAGAUCCCAUUUCUGAUUAGUCCUUUUAUAUCAACAGUUUUGCAGAGGUUCUUCUGGAUUAAUGUACUACAGCAACCCUAUUUGGAAAACUGGCAAGGAAAUUUCAUUCAUGUUUGUUGAAUCCAGUGGACUAUCCUGCUUUUUGCUUUUUAAAUUUUGGGCAGAAGCAAGCACAAGGAAUAUUGAUAAGCAGGUUCAUCCUAGAAGAGAAAUACAAGAAGAAGAAAAU
Long non-coding RNA from Crotalus tigris (Tiger rattlesnake), 585 nucleotides. RefSeq lists it as uncharacterized. The record is from RefSeq and is a predicted model, not a curated record. Lineage: Eukaryota; Metazoa; Chordata; Lepidosauria; Squamata; Viperidae. The transcript has 3 exons.